UAACAGUCUGUCUCUCUGUGUCAGCCCUGGGUUAGAUUCGCGACCUGUCCAGGUUGUACCCCGCCUUUUGCCAUAUGGAAGCUAGGUUAGGGUCCAGCCCAAGCAGAAGAGAAUGGAUGGAUGACACUAAGAACCAGGCCUGUGACGACUGGCAGCCUGUCGAGAGUGUACCCUGCCUCUUGACCAUUGUCCCCUGAGAUAGACUCCAGCCCCCAUUGACCCUGAAGUGGAUAAGUGUUUAAAGACAUUAAGAGACAUUAAUGAAUGGAUGGACGUCUCAUGUGGUACUUAGACUCUGAGAGAGACUUCACUGCUGGACUCACUCAACUAAAAGGUGUGGGCUGACGUAGAGACACUGAGUCAAAUCCCCCGGAGGUAUGUUUUGUUUAUUGUUUUCCAUUAUUUGGGCCCAUUUUUCCUUUUAUGUAAUGCUAUUGUUUUUUUAUUGUAUAUGUAAGUUAUUAUUCAUGUUGAAAUUGACAGGUUGUGUUGACCUUGACAAAAAUACAAAUGAAUAAAAGUUCCUCAAACUCAUUCAUCCACUUUGCUCCAGCAGUCGAACCUUAGCAGUUGGUACUCAUGUAAUUAUUAAAAUCUGU
Molecule: long non-coding RNA, 599 nt
Organism: Oreochromis niloticus (Nile tilapia)
Lineage: Eukaryota; Metazoa; Chordata; Actinopteri; Cichliformes; Cichlidae
Exons: 3
Source: RefSeq, a predicted model, not a curated record